RNAcentral lists this ribosomal RNA (1024 nucleotides) under Sphingobacterium sp. R12. RNAcentral's name for it is "bacterial SSU rRNA". It matches the Rfam family "Bacterial small subunit ribosomal RNA", at positions 89 to 1116 of the family's 1533-position model. Lineage: Bacteria; Pseudomonadati; Bacteroidota; Sphingobacteriia; Sphingobacteriales; Sphingobacteriaceae. The record is from RNAcentral.
AUGAGAGUGGCGCACGGGUGCGUAACGCGUGAGCAACCUACCCAUAUCAGGGGGAUAGCCUCUCGAAAGAGAGAUUAACACCGCAUAACAUCAUUUACCGGCAUCGGUUUGUGAUCAAAUAUUUAUAGGAUAUGGAUGGGCUCGCGUGACAUUAGCUAGUUGGAGAGGUAACGGCUCACCAAGGCUACGAUGUCUAGGGGCUCUGAGAGGAGAAUCCCCCACACUGGUACUGAGACACGGACCAGACUCCUACGGGAGGCAGCAGUAAGGAAUAUUGGUCAAUGGAGGCAACUCUGAACCAGCCAUGCCGCGUGCAGGAUGACUGCCCUAUGGGUUGUAAACUGCUUUUGUCAGGGAAUAAACCUUUCCACGUGUGGGAAGCUGAAUGUACCUGAAGAAUAAGGAUCGGCUAACUCCGUGCCAGCAGCCGCGGUAAUACGGAGGAUCCAAGCGUUAUCCGGAUUUAUUGGGUUUAAAGGGUGCGUAGGCGGUCCUAUAAGUCAGUGGUGAAAGACGGCAGCUUAACUGUCGCAGUGCCUUUGAUACUGUAGGACUUGAAUCUAUUUGAAGUGGGCGGAAUAAGACAAGUAGCGGUGAAAUGCAUAGAUAUGUCUUAGAACUCCGAUUGCGAAGGCAGCUCACUAAGUUAGUAUUGACGCUGAUGCACGAAAGCGUGGGGAUCAAACAGGAUUAGAUACCCUGGUAGUCCACGCCCUAAACGAUGAUAACUCGAUGUUUGCGAUACACAGUAAGCGUCCAAGCGAAAGCGUUAAGUUAUCCACCUGGGGAGUACGGUCGCAAGAUUGAAACUCAAAGGAAUUGACGGGGGCCCGCACAAGCGGAGGAGCAUGUGGUUUAAUUCGAUGAUACGCGAGGAACCUUACCCGGGCUUGAAAGUUAGUGAAUGAUCCAGAGACGGAUCAGUCCUUCGGGACACGAAACUAGGUGCUGCAUGGCUGUCGUCAGCUCGUGCCGUGAGGUGUUGGGUUAAGUCCCGCAACGAGCGCAACCCCUAUGUUUAGUU